This 253-nucleotide ribosomal RNA is filed under the name uncultured bacterium. RNAcentral describes it as "partial 16S ribosomal RNA". It matches the Rfam family "Bacterial small subunit ribosomal RNA", at positions 524 to 776 of the family's 1533-position model. The record is from RNAcentral.
AACGUAGGACGCAAGCGUUAUCCGGAAUUACUGGGCGUAAAGCGUGCGCAGGCGGUUUUGUAAGUCUGUCGUGAAAGCCCCGGGCUCAACCUGGGAAUUGCGAUGGAGACUGCAAGGCUUGAAUCUGGCAGAGGGGGGUAGAAUUCCACGUGUAGCAGUGAAAUGCGUAGAUAUUGGGAGGAACACCAGUGGCGAAGGCGGGUUACUGGGCUGAUACUGACGCCGAUGCGCGAAAGCCAGGGGAGCAAACGGG